This 413-nucleotide ribosomal RNA is filed under the name uncultured eukaryote. Its description in RNAcentral is "bacterial SSU rRNA". It matches the Rfam family "Eukaryotic small subunit ribosomal RNA", at positions 592 to 1013 of the family's 1831-position model. The record is from RNAcentral.
CAAUAGCGUAUAUUAAAGUUGUUGCAGUUAAAAAGCUCGUAGUUGGACUUCUGAUGUGAAAGAUCGGUCCACCGCAAGGUGAGCACUGAUUCUUCGCGUCUUCCUCUCGUAGUUGUUUCGCGCACUUAGUUGGGUGCGAGAUGAAUAUGGGACCUUACUUGAAAAAUUAGAGUGUUUAAAGCAGGCUUAUGCCGUUGAAUACAUUAGCAUGGAAUAAUAAGAUAGGACCGCGUGGUCGUCUUGUUGGUUUGCACCGCGAGGUAAUGAUUAAUAGGUACAGUUGGGGGUAUUCGUAUUUAAUUGUCAGAGGUGAAAUUCUUGGAUUUAUGAAAGACGAACUUCUGCGAAAGCAUUUACCAAGGAUGUUUUUCAUUAAUCAAGAACGAAAGUUAGGGGAUCGAAGACGAUUAGAU